Molecule: unclassified non-coding RNA, 287 nt
Filed under: uncultured Cortinarius
Lineage: Eukaryota; Fungi; Basidiomycota; Agaricomycetes; Agaricales; Cortinariaceae
Description: sequence contains ITS2
Rfam family: 5.8S ribosomal RNA (bases 1-52)
Source: RNAcentral
AACGCACCUUGCGCUCCUUGGUAUUCCGAGGAGCAUGCCUGUUUGAGUGUCAUUAAUAUAUAAAUCAAACUUCUUUUUGUUGAGUGGUUUGGAUGUGGGGGUUUGCUGGCCUCUUUUUUAAAAAGGGUUCGGCUCCUCUGAAAUGCAUUAGCAGAACAACCCUGUUCAUCGGCGUGAUAACUAUCUACGCUAUUGAAUGUGAGGGGCAGUUCAGCUUUCUAACCGUCCCUUGGACAAUUCAUCAUUAAUGUGACCUCAAAUCAGGUAGGACUACCCGCUGAACUUAA